This 253-nucleotide ribosomal RNA is filed under the name uncultured bacterium. Its description in RNAcentral is "partial 16S ribosomal RNA". It matches the Rfam family "Bacterial small subunit ribosomal RNA", at positions 524 to 776 of the family's 1533-position model. The record is from RNAcentral.
UACGGAGGGUGCGAGCGUUGUCCGGAAUCACUGGGCGUAAAGGGCGCGUAGGCGGCCUGAUAAGUAGGGGGUGAAAUCCUGCGGCUUAACCGCAGGGCUGCCUUCUAAACUGUCAGGCUAGAGCACAGUAGAGGCAGGUGGAAUUCCCGGUGUAGCGGUGGAAUGCGUAGAGAUCCGGAGGAAGACCGGUGGCGAAGGCGGCCUGCUGGGCAGAUACUGACACUGAGGCGCGACAGCGUGGGGAGCAAACAGG